Molecule: ribosomal RNA, 597 nt
Filed under: Staphylococcus aureus
Lineage: Bacteria; Bacillati; Bacillota; Bacilli; Caryophanales; Staphylococcaceae
Description: bacterial SSU rRNA
Rfam family: Bacterial small subunit ribosomal RNA
Source: RNAcentral
UAUAGAUGGAUCCGCGCUGCAUUAGCUAGUUGGUAAGGUAACGGCUUACCAAGGCAACGAUGCAUAGCCGACCUGAGAGGGUGAUCGGCCACACUGGAACUGAGACACGGUCCAGACUCCUACGGGAGGCAGCAGUAGGGAAUCUUCCGCAAUGGGCGAAAGCCUGACGGAGCAACGCCGCGUGAGUGAUGAAGGUCUUCGGAUCGUAAAACUCUGUUAUUAGGGAAGAACAUAUGUGUAAGUAACUGUGCACAUCUUGACGGUACCUAAUCAGAAAGCCACGGCUAACUACGUGCCAGCAGCCGCGGUAAUACGUAGGUGGCAAGCGUUAUCCGGAAUUAUUGGGCGUAAAGCGCGCGUAGGCGGUUUUUUAAGUCUGAUGUGAAAGCCCACGGCUCAACCGUGGAGGGUCAUUGGAAACUGGAAAACUUGAGUGCAGAAGAGGAAAGUGGAAUUCCAUGUGUAGCGGUGAAAUGCGCAGAGAUAUGGAGGAACACCAGUGGCGAAGGCGACUUUCUGGUCUGUAACUGACGCUGAUGUGCGAAAGCGUGGGGAUCAAACAGGAUUAGAUACCCUGGUAGUCCACGCCGUAAACGA